RNAcentral lists this ribosomal RNA (828 nucleotides) under uncultured bacterium. RNAcentral describes it as "bacterial SSU rRNA". It matches the Rfam family "Bacterial small subunit ribosomal RNA", at positions 51 to 897 of the family's 1533-position model. The record is from RNAcentral.
AGACAUGCAAGUCGAACGGACGAUUCGGGCUUGCUCGAAUCGUUAGUGGCGGACGGCUGAGUAACGCGUAGGUGACCUGCCCCGAAGUGGGGAAUAACUGCCCGAAAGGGUGGCUAAUACCGCAUGUGGUCGCACGUUCACUCGUGCGAGUAAAGCCGCAAGGCGCUUCGGGAGGGGCCUGCGUCCGAUUAGCUCGUUGGUGGGGUAAUGGCUCACCAAGGCGACGAUCGGUAGGUGGUCUGAGAGGACGAUCACCCAGACUGGGACUGAGACACGGCCCAGACUCCUACGGGAGGCAGCAGUCGGGAAUUUUGCUCAAUGGGCGAAAGCCUGAAGCAGCAACGCCGCGUGAGGGAUGAAGGCCUUCGGGUCGUAAACCUCUUUUUCCGGGGACGAUAAUGACGGUACCCGGUGAAUAAGCCACGGCUAACUACGUGCCAGCAGCCGCGGUAAUACGUAGGUGGCGAGCGUUGUCCGGAUUUACUGGGCGUAAAGAGCGCGCAGGCGGUCGUAUAAGUCGAAUGUGAAAGCCCCUGGCUCAACUAGGGAGAGUCAUUCGAUACUGUUCGACUCGAAGGCAGGAGAGGGAAGUGGAAUUCCGGGUGUAGUGGUGAAAUGCGUAGAUAUCCGGAGGAACACCAGUGGCGAAUGCGACUUUCUGGCCUGUUCUUGACGCUGAGGCGCGAAAGCUAAAGGAGCAAACGGGAUUAGAUACCCCGGUAGUCCUAGCCGUAAACGAUGGACACUAGGUGUUGGUGGUAUCAACCCCGCCAGUGCCGAAGCUAACGCAUUAAGUGUCCCGCCUGGGGAGUACGGCCGCAAGGCUAA